AAAGGAAUAGACGGGGGCCCGCACAAGCGGUGGAGCAUGUGGUUUAAUUCGACGCAACGCGCAGAACCUUACCAGCUCUUGACAUGUCCAUGACCGGCCGCAGAGAUGCGGCUUUCCCUUCGGGGCAUGGAACACAGGUGCUGCAUGGCUGUCGUCAGCUCGUGUCGUGAGAUGUUGGGUUAAGUCCCGCAACGAGCGCAACCCCCGUCCUUAGUUGCUACCAUUUAGUUGAGCACUCUAAGGAGACUGCCGGUGAUAAGCCGCGAGGAAGGUGGGGAUGACGUCAAGUCCUCAUGGCCCUUACGGGCUGGGCUACACACGUGCUACAAUGGCGGUGACAGAGGGAUGCGAAGGAGCGAUCCUUGGCAAAUCUCAAAAAGCCGUCUCAGUUCGGAUUGGAGUCUGCAACUCGACUCCAUGAAGUUGGAAUCGCUAGUAAUCGCGGAUCAGCACGCCGCGGUGAAUACGUUCCCGGGCCUUGUACACACCGCCCGU
Molecule: ribosomal RNA, 495 nt
Filed under: uncultured bacterium
Lineage: Bacteria
Description: bacterial SSU rRNA
Rfam family: Bacterial small subunit ribosomal RNA
Source: RNAcentral